RNAcentral lists this ribosomal RNA (450 nucleotides) under uncultured bacterium. RNAcentral's name for it is "bacterial SSU rRNA". It matches the Rfam family "Bacterial small subunit ribosomal RNA", at positions 329 to 797 of the family's 1533-position model. The record is from RNAcentral.
UCCCAGACUCCUACGGGAGGCAGCAGUGGGGAAUAUUGCACAAUGGGGGAAACCCUGAUGCAGCGACGCCGCGUGAAGGAAGAAGUAUCUCGGUAUGUAAACUUCUCUCAGCAGGGAAGAAAACAGGCGGUACCUGACUAAGAAGCCCCGGCUAACUACGUGCCAGCAGCCGCGGUAAUACGUAGGGGGCAAGCGUUAUCCGGAUUUACUGGGUGUAAAGGGAGCGUAGACGGCAGCGCAAGUCUGGAGUGAAAUCCCGGGGCUUAACCCCGGAACUGCUUUGGAAACUGUGCAGCUAGAGUGCAGGAGAGGUAAGUGGAAUUCCUAGUGUAGCGGUGAAAUGCGUAGAUAUUAGGAGGAACACCAGUGGCGAAGGCGGCUUACUGGACUGUAACUGACGUCGAGGCUCGAAAGCGUGGGGAGCAAACAGGAUUAGAUACCCCAGUACAA